This 435-nucleotide ribosomal RNA is filed under the name uncultured Oscillospiraceae bacterium. RNAcentral describes it as "bacterial SSU rRNA". It matches the Rfam family "Bacterial small subunit ribosomal RNA", at positions 341 to 792 of the family's 1533-position model. Lineage: Bacteria; Bacillati; Bacillota; Clostridia; Eubacteriales; Oscillospiraceae. The record is from RNAcentral.
ACGGGAGGCAGCAGUGGGGAAUAUUGGGCAAUGGGGGAAACCCUGACCCAGCAACGCCGCGUGAAGGAAGAAGGCCUUCGGGUUGUAAACUUCUUUUACCAGGGACGAAGAAUGACGGUACCUGAAGAAGAAGCAACGGCUAACUACGUGCCAGCAGCCGCGGUAAUACGUAGGUUGCAAGCGUUGUCCGGAUUUACUGGGUGUAAAGGGCGUGUAGGCGGAGCUGCAAGUCAGAUGUGAAAUCCCGGGGCUCAACCCCGGAACUGCAUUUGAAACUGUAGCCCUUGAGUAUCGGAGAGGCAAGCGGAAUUCCUAGUGUAGCGGUGAAAUGCGUAGAUAUUAGGAGGAACACCAGUGGCGAAGGCGGCUUGCUGGACGACAACUGACGCUGAGGCGCGAAAGCGUGGGGAGCAAACAGGAUUAGAUACCCUGGUA